RNAcentral lists this long non-coding RNA (602 nucleotides) under Carica papaya (papaya). Its description in RNAcentral is "long non-coding RNA (CPAP_LNC013076)". Lineage: Eukaryota; Viridiplantae; Streptophyta; Magnoliopsida; Brassicales; Caricaceae. The record is from RNAcentral.
GUUUUAAAAGUGAAUUAUUUUAACAAAAAUACUUACCAAACAAACAUACAUAUGCCAGAUAAUAGAGAAAAUCAAAUAAAUCAUGAAAUACUCAUAUUUUUGUGUCAUGUUUCACGAAGUCGUUACAACUUUUAUCUCUAAAGGCAUAUAUAGAUUUCGAACUACCCAUGUGGAAUGACAAGAUCAGAUACAGAUAACGACAAUUUGUCCAGGCACAAUUCCAGCUGGCCAAACCAUGGUACAAUCUACGACCACGACCGUACUAACCAUAAUGGUCCUAUCAAAUAUUACAGUCACAUAAUAGUUAACCAAAGGUGACCCCUAUCAGAUAUUCGCAUCACUACUCUUGUCAAAGGGUACAUUGUCAUCCACAAGGAGCGAUCCUCUUACGUCUUUCCAGACUAGAUGGAGGAGGGGGAUACAGAUAACCUAGAUGGGGUUAGGGGAAUAAAUAACCCAGAUGGGGUUAGGGGAACAGAUACCCUGGAUGGGCUGAGGGGAAUAGAUACCACACAGAGAUAAAAAGCCUAAUGGGACACUUGAUACAUUAUGCAUGUCAAUGCAGAUACAUACUUCGGACCAUUCAUUCUUCAUUCAACUUU